This is an RNA transcript of Juglans microcarpa x Juglans regia, 2112 nucleotides long. RefSeq lists it as uncharacterized. The record is from RefSeq and is a predicted model, not a curated record. Lineage: Eukaryota; Viridiplantae; Streptophyta; Magnoliopsida; Fagales; Juglandaceae. The transcript is spliced from 10 exons.
GUCGCUGCUUGCAACGUAACCACCAAAAAGAAAAGGAACGUUUAACUACAGAAAUGGCGACGACGAUUCGAUCCGAUAUUCGUUCGGCUAUGCAUAUGGCGACUUCGACCUUCCGCUCUUUCAGCCCCAAGGUCCUUAUUCCUUCACGCGCCGCCGCGCGUCGUGCUCUACCGUUUUCUUCGUCCAUCUCAUCGUCCUUUACGGCGGCUACAACCACGUCGCUCAGCCUGAGAGGUUUCUACUCCACCAACUCCGUGAGCGACGCCGUCCUGAAGGCUCCGGAAUUGCCGUCCAUAUGUACGGCCGAUGAGCUCCAUUAUGUCUCCGUAUCAAGCUCUGAUUGGAAACUCGCCCUUUGGCGCUACCAUCCUUCUCCUCAGGCACCUCAGAGGAAUCACCCGCUGCUGCUAUUGUCUGGGGUGGGGACUAACGCCAUUGGAUACGAUCUCUCCCCUGAGUCUUCAUAUGCUCGGUACAUGUCAAGCCAAGGGUUUGACACAUGGAUCCUUGAAGUUCGGGGUGCUGGGUUGAGUGUGCAGGGAGCGAAUUCCAAAGAAAUUAAGCAGUCUGCCAAUAAAAUAUCUGAGCAGAUGGAAGCUGCUUCAAGGAGUGCAACCAAUGGAGCUUUACCUGUGGGGCUUCAGUCAACUAAUGGUACUGGUGCCUUGGCAAAACCUGAGACUUUUUCUGUCAAAGGAAAAGAAUCUGAGAACAUAGCUGUAAAGGGAGACAUGAUGCGGAUAGCAACAGUGUGGGACGAAUCAAGACUGGUGAUGAAGUUGACAGAAACCUUCAUGCGUUUGUCAGAAAGACUAUCUGGUUUUCUCAGUGAAGGCCAGUCCAAGAUCAUGUUCGCCAAAUUAUCUGACCAGAUUUCCAAACUUUUGGCGGAUUCCCCAUUGUCUGAACGAUUUAAUGAGAUAAGAGAAAAGCUAUCAAGUUUGUUGGAAACAAGGCAAAAUUCCAGUAUUGCUAGCCAAAUUAGGGAUCUGAGUCAAAGGAUAGUAUAUAUAAUCGAAGAGGGUCAACGAUCUGUCUCACCUCCAUUGUUUGACUUGCAAGAGCGUUUUGCGUCAACAAUAGAAGAUUUUCAGAAACAACUUGACUUAAUAGUGAAGUACGAUUGGGAUUUUGAUAAUUACUUGGAAGAGGAUGUGCCAGCUGCGAUGGAAUAUAUAAGAAGCAAAAGCAGGCCAAAGGAUGGUAAGUUGCUGGCAAUUGGACACUCCAUGGGCGGUAUUUUGCUUUAUGCGAAUCUGUCACGAUGUGCUUUUGAAGGAAGAGACUCCAGAUUGGCAGCUAUUGUUACAUUGGCAUCAUCCCUUGACUACACUUCUUCAGAAUCGACUCUCAAAUUGCUCCUACCGCUUGCGGAUCCUGCACAGGCUCUUAGUGUACCUGUUGUUCCUUUAGGGGCAUUACUGGCAGCGGCUUAUCCUCUUUCAUCGCGACCUCCUUAUGUCUUGUCUUGGCUUAAUGAUCUAAUUUCAGCAGAAGACAUGAUGCAUCCAGAGUUGUUUGAAAAGCUUGUCAUGAACAACUUUUGUACCAUACCGGCUAAACUUCUCUUGCAGCUAACAACAGCUUUUCGAGAGGGUGGGUUGUGUGACAGGAGUGGUAGCUUUUCCUACAAGGAUCACAUACACAAAAGCAAUGUCCCUAUCUUAGCACUUGCAGGAGACCGGGACCUUAUAUGCCCACCUGAAGCUGUAGAGGACACUGUCAAGCUGAUUCCCGAGCACCUGGUUACCUAUAAAGUAUUUGGAGAACCUGGAGGUCCACAUUAUGCCCACUAUGAUUUGGUGGGAGGACGAUUGGCAGUGGAGCAGGUAUAUCCUCGUGUAAUACAAUUUCUUGCUCGUCAUGACUCAACAUGAUUACCUUGGCAAUGGAACUUCACGUCGCCAAACGAUUUUGAUUUCCAAGCAGGCAAUAAAGCUAGCAUCCAGAUUUUUAGCAGAAGUUGCGAUGCUUCACUUCUGUGUCGUAGAUUAGCAUUACAGUUGGUAAUAGGAAAAUCAAAACCGAGGAACAAAGGCGCAGAAACGCAUGCUUCGUUUCAUCACACACACAUAUAUAUAUAUAUAUAUAUAGCAAUUUGGAUAUACAGUA